Long non-coding RNA from Zingiber officinale, 485 nucleotides. RefSeq lists it as uncharacterized. NCBI's taxonomy places the organism in Eukaryota, Viridiplantae, Streptophyta, Magnoliopsida, Zingiberales, Zingiberaceae. The transcript is spliced from 3 exons. The record is from RefSeq and is a predicted model, not a curated record.
CGACACCCUUCCUCUCUGGGUGGGAGACACGGCGUCGCGUCUCCUCUAGCCGAUAGCCGACGCCAUUAGAUCGAGCCAGAUCCACUCGAUCGCCGGCGUGGAGGAGGCAGUUAGGGCUCCGGUGGUCACCGACGCACCUUCUCUUCUUGGCGGCUGAAUUAGGUCACGGAUCGGAGGGGAUUAGUGAGUUGUGCUUGGGCUGUAGGGCAGAGACUACAUGUGUUGAUGCUUGAUCAGUAGUCUUCCUGUUUGAUUCCAAUCUUGAUCCGAUCAAUUGAGAGUACUGGAAUUCAACAUGCUGCUGUUCUGUGGAGGUGUUCUUGAUUAAAGGAAGCAUCGGACUACUGUGGAUCAAUGGAUGAGGGUUGUGAGGUUAUGUGGAUCCGAAGUUCUAUUGCUGUGGGAUUGUUUUGGUUCCAGCAGCAUCUCUUUGGCUUCAGAUCAAGAGUAGAGCUUGGGAAUUAAGGACUUUGAUUCGAGACAGA